RNAcentral lists this ribosomal RNA (373 nucleotides) under uncultured organism. RNAcentral's name for it is "partial 16S ribosomal RNA". It matches the Rfam family "Bacterial small subunit ribosomal RNA", at positions 527 to 896 of the family's 1533-position model. The record is from RNAcentral.
GUAGGUGGCAAGCGUUGUCCGGAAUUAUUGGGCGUAAAGCGCGCGCAGGCGGUCCUUUAAGUCUGAUGUGAAAGCCCACGGGCUCAACCGUGGAGGGUCAUUGGAAACUGGGGGACUUGAGUACAGAAGAGGAAAGCGGAAUUCCAAGUGUAGCGGUGAAAUGCGUAGAGAUUUGGAGGAACACCAGUGGCGAAGGCGGCUUUCUGGUCUGUAACUGACGCUGAGGCGCGAAAGCGUGGGGAGCAAACAGGAUUAGAUACCCUGGUAGUCCACGCCGUAAACGAUGAGUGCUAAGUGUUAGGGAGUUUCCGCCCCUUAGUGCUGCAGCUAACGCAUUAAGCACUCCGCCUGGGGAGUACGGCCGCAAAGGCUG